This 1372-nucleotide ribosomal RNA is filed under the name uncultured bacterium. RNAcentral's name for it is "bacterial SSU rRNA". It matches the Rfam family "Bacterial small subunit ribosomal RNA", at positions 28 to 1381 of the family's 1533-position model. The record is from RNAcentral.
GAUGAACGCUGGCGGCGUGCCUAAUACAUGCAAGUCGAGCGAACGGACGAGAAGCUUGCUUCUCUGAUGUUAGCGGCGGACGGGUGAGUAACACGUGGAUAACCUACCUAUAAGACUGGGAUAACUUCGGGAAACCGGAGCUAAUACCGGAUAAUAUUUUGAACCGCAUGGUUCAAAAGUGAAAGACGGUCUUGCUGUCACUUAUAGAUGGAUCCGCGCUGCAUUAGCUAGUUGGUAAGGUAACGGCUUACCAAGGCAACGAUGCAUAGCCGACCUGAGAGGGUGAUCGGCCACACUGGAACUGAGACACGGUCCAGACUCCUACGGGAGGCAGCAGUAGGGAAUCUUCCGCAAUGGGCGAAAGCCUGACGGAGCAACGCCGCGUGAGUGAUGAAGGUCUUCGGAUCGUAAAACUCUGUUAUUAGGGAAGAACAUAUGUGUAAGUAACUGUGCACAUCUUGACGGUACCUAAUCAGAAAGCCACGGCUAACUACGUGCCAGCAGCCGCGGUAAUACGUAGGUGGCAAGCGUUAUCCGGAAUUAUUGGGCGUAAAGCGCGCGUAGGCGGUUUUUUAAGUCUGAUGUGAAAGCCCACGGCUCAACCGUGGAGGGUCAUUGGAAACUGGAAAACUUGAGUGCAGAAGAGGAAAGUGGAAUUCCACGUGUAGCGGUGAAAUGCGCAGAGAUAUGGAGGAACACCAGUGGCGAAGGCGACUUUCUGGUCUGUAACUGACGCUGAUGUGCGAAAGCGUGGGGAUCAAACAGGAUUAGAUACCCUGGUAGUCCACGCCGUAAACGAUGAGUGCUAAGUGUUAGGGGGUUUCCGCCCCUUAGUGCUGCAGCUAACGCAUUAAGCACUCCGCCUGGGGAGUACGACCGCAAGGUUGAAACUCAAAGGAAUUGACGGGGACCCGCACAAGCGGUGGAGCAUGUGGUUUAAUUCGAAGCAACGCGAAGAACCUUACCAAAUCUUGACAUCCUUUGACAACUCUAGAGAUAGAGCUUUCCCCUUCGGGGGACAAAGUGACAGGUGGUGCAUGGUUGUCGUCAGCUCGUGUCGUGAGAUGUUGGGUUAAGUCCCGCAACGAGCGCAACCCUUAAGCUUAGUUGCCAUCAUUAAGUUGGGCACUCUAAGUUGACUGCCGGUGACAAACCGGAGGAAGGUGGGGAUGACGUCAAAUCAUCAUGCCCCUUAUGAUUUGGGCUACACACGUGCUACAAUGGACAAUACAAAGGGCAGCGAAACCGCGAGGUCAAGCAAAUCCCAUAAAGUUGUUCUCAGUUCGGAUUGUAGUCUGCAACUCGACUACAUGAAGCUGGAAUCGCUAGUAAUCGUAGAUCAGCAUGCUACGGUGAAUACGUUCCCGGGUCU